This 389-nucleotide ribosomal RNA is filed under the name uncultured bacterium. RNAcentral describes it as "bacterial SSU rRNA". It matches the Rfam family "Bacterial small subunit ribosomal RNA", at positions 30 to 421 of the family's 1533-position model. The record is from RNAcentral.
AUUGAACGCUGGCGGCAUGCCUUACACAUGCAAGUCGAACGGCAGCGGACCUUCGGGUGCCGGCGAGUGGCGAACGGGUGAGUAAUAUAUCGGAACGUACCUUUCAGUGGGGGAUAACGUAGCGAAAGUUACGCUAAUACCGCAUAUUCUGUGAGCAGGAAAGCAGGGGAUCGCAAGACCUUGCGCUGAUUGAGCGGCCGAUAUCAGAUUAGCUAGUUGGUGAGGUAAAGGCUCACCAAGGCGACGAUCUGUAGCGGGUCUGAGAGGAUGAUCCGCCACACUGGAACUGAGACACGGUCCAGACUCCUACGGGAGGCAGCAGUGGGGAAUUUUGGACAAUGGGCGCAAGCCUGAUCCAGCCAUGCCGCGUGAGUGAAGAAGGCCUGUGU